AGAGUUUGAUCCUGGCUCAGGAUGAACGCUAGCGGAGGGCUUAACACAUGCAAGUCGAGGGGCAGCACGGACUUCGGUCUGGUGGCGACCGGCGAAUGGGUGCGUAACGCGUAUGCAACUUACCUUAUGCUGGGGGAUAGCUUGAGGAAACUCAAAUUAAUACCCCAUGUUUUGUUCUUAUCGCAUGAUAAAAAUAAUAAAGCGAUUUAGCGGCAUAAGAUAGGCAUGCGUCUGAUUAGCUAGAUGGUAGAGUAAAAGCCUACCAUGGCUACGACCAGUAGGGGGUCUGAGAGGAUGAACCCCCACACCGGUACUGAGACACGGACCGGACCCCUACGGGAGGCAGCAGUGAGGAAUAUUGGGCAAUGGGCGCAAGCUUGACCCAGCCACUCCGCGUGCAGGAAGACGGCCUUAUGGGUUGUAAACUGCUUUUUUACAAGAAGAAAAAACUUUACGUGUAAAGGACUGACGGUAUUGUAAGAAUAAGCAUCGGCUAACUCCGUGCCAGCAGCCGCGGUAAUACGGAGGAUGCAAGCGUUAUCCGGAUUUAUUGGGUUUAAAGGGUACGUAGGCGGAAAAAUAAGUCAGUGGUGAAAAGCUUGAGCUCAACUGAAGUCGGGCCAUUGAUACUGUUUUUCUUGAGUGUGGUAGAAGUAAGAGGAAUGUGUAGUGUAGCGGUGAAAUGCAUAGAUAUUACACAGAACACCAAUAGCGUAGGCAUCUUACUAUACCAUUACUGACGCUGAGGUACGAAAGCGUGGGGAGCGAACAGGAUUAGAUACCCUGGUAGUCCACGCCGUAAACGAUGCUCACUGGCUGUUUGCAAAUUUGAUUGUAAGUGGCAAAGCGAAAGUGUUAAGUGAGCCACCUGGGGAGUACGCCCGCAAGGGUGAAACUUAAAGGAAUUGACGGGGGCCCGCGCAAGCGGUGGAACAUGUGGUUUAAUUCGAUGUACGCGAGGAACCUUACCCGGGUUUAAAUGGAAAGUGCAUGAGGUGGAAACAUCUCUUUCUUCGGACUCUUUCCAAGGUGAUGCAUGGUUGUCGUCAGCUCGUGCCGUAAGGUGUCGGGUUAAGUCCCUUAACGAGCGCAACCCCUGCUGCUAGUUGCCAGCGAGUAAUGUCGGGGACUCUAGUAGGACUGCCGCUGUGAGGUGGAGGAAGGUGGGGAUGACGUCAAAUCAGCACGUCCCUUACGUCCGGGGCUACACACGUGUUACAAUGGCCAAUACAGAGGGAAGCUACAUUGCGAAAUGACGCUGAUCCCUAAAGUUGGUCUCAGUUCGGAUUGGAGUCUGCAACUCGACUCCAUGAAGCUGGAAUCGCUAGUAAUCGCAUAUCAGCCAUGAUGCGGUGAAUACGUUCCCGGGCCUUGUACACACCGCCCGUCAAGCCAUGGGAGUCGGUGGUACCUAAAGUCUGUAGCCGAAAGGAGCGGCCUAGGGUAAAAUCGGUGACUGGGGCUAAGUCGUAACAAGGUA
RNAcentral lists this ribosomal RNA (1480 nucleotides) under metagenome. RNAcentral describes it as "bacterial SSU rRNA". It matches the Rfam family "Bacterial small subunit ribosomal RNA". The record is from RNAcentral.